This 444-nucleotide ribosomal RNA is filed under the name uncultured bacterium. RNAcentral describes it as "SSU rRNA". It matches the Rfam family "Bacterial small subunit ribosomal RNA", at positions 26 to 518 of the family's 1533-position model. The record is from RNAcentral.
AGAACGAACGCUGGCGGCAGGCUUAACACAUGCAAGUCGAACGCCCCGCGAGGGGAGUGGCAGACGGGUGAGUAACGCGUGGGAAUCUACCCAGAACUUCGGAACAACUGAGGGAAACUUCAGCUAAUACCGGAUACGCCCUACGGGGGAAAGAUUUAUCGGUUCUGGAUGAGCCCGCGUUGGAUUAGCUAGUUGGUGGGGUAAUGGCCUACCAAGGCGACGAUCCAUAGCUGGUCUGAGAGGAUGAUCAGCCACACUGGGACUGAGACACGGCCCAGACUCCUACGGGAGGCAGCAGUGGGGAAUAUUGGACAAUGGGCGAAAGCCUGAUCCAGCCAUGCCGCGUGAGUGAUGAAGGCCUUAGGGUUGUAAAGCUCUUUCAGUAGGGAAGAUAAUGACGGUACCUACAAAAGAACGCCCGGCUAACUUCGCGCCAGCAGCCGC